This 925-nucleotide ribosomal RNA is filed under the name archaeon enrichment culture clone AOM-SR-A51. RNAcentral's name for it is "bacterial SSU rRNA". It matches the Rfam family "Archaeal small subunit ribosomal RNA", at positions 1 to 931 of the family's 1478-position model. The record is from RNAcentral.
UCCGGUUGAUCCUGCCGGAGGUCACUGCUAUUGGGAUUCGACUAAGCCAUGCGAGUCGAGAGGGUUCGGCCCUCGGCUGACGGCUCAGUAACACGUGGAUAAUCUGCCCUUAGGUGGAGGAUAAUCUCGGGAAACUGAGAAUAAUACUCCAUAGAUCUAGGAUGCUGGAAUGCAUCUAGAUUGAAAGCUCCGGCGCCUAAGGAUGAGUCUGCGGACUAUCAGGUUGUAGUCAGGGUAAAGACCUGACUAGCCUACGACGGAUACGGGUUGUGAGAGCAAUAACCCGGAGACGAUAUCUGAGACACGAUAUCGGGCCCUACGGGGCGCAGCAGGCGCGAAAACUUCACACUGUGCGAAAGCGCGAUGAGGGAAUCCCAAGUGUUUGCUCGUAAGAGUAAACUGUUUCUUUGUUUAAAACGCAGAGAGAGUAAGGGCUGGGUAAGACGGGUGCCAGCCGCCGCGGUAAUACCUGCAGCUCGAGUGGUGAUCAUUAUUAUUGGGCCUAAAACGUCCGUAGCCGGUUUAGUAAAUGCCUGGGUAAAUCGUGUAGCUUAACUAUACGACUUCCGGGUAGACUGCUAAACUUGAGACCGGGAGAGGCUAGAGGUACUCCUGGGGUAGAGGUGAAAUUCUGUAAUCCUAGGGGGACCACCAGUGGCGAAGGCGUCUAGCUAGAACGGGUCUGACGGUGAGGGACGAAGCCCUGGGGCACAAACCGGAUUAGAUACCCGGGUAGUCCAGGGUGUAAACGCUGCUUGCUUGAUGGUUAGUUGGGCUCCGAGCCCAACUAGUGUCGGAGAGAAGUUGUUAAGCAAGCUGCCUGGGAAGUACGGUCGCAAGGCUGAAACUUAAAGGAAUUGGCGGGGGAGCACAGCAACGGGUGGAGCGUGCGGGUUUAAUUGGAUUCAACGCCGGAAAUCGUCGA